RNAcentral lists this ribosomal RNA (492 nucleotides) under uncultured bacterium. RNAcentral describes it as "partial 16S ribosomal RNA". It matches the Rfam family "Bacterial small subunit ribosomal RNA", at positions 29 to 507 of the family's 1533-position model. The record is from RNAcentral.
AGUGAACGCUGGCGGUAGGCCUAACACAUGCAAGUCGAACGGCAGCACAGUAAGAGCUUGCUCUUACGGGUGGCGAGUGGCGGACGGGUGAGGAAUACAUCGGAAUCUACUUUUUCGUGGGGGAUAACGUAGGGAAACUUACGCUAAUACCGCAUACGACCUACGGGUGAAAGCAGGGGAUCUUCGGACCUUGCGCGAUUGAAUGAGCCGAUGUCGGAUUAGCUAGUUGGCGGGGUAAAGGCCCACCAAGGCGACGAUCCGUAGCUGGUCUGAGAGGAUGAUCAGCCACACGGGAACUGAGACACGGUCCAGACUCCUACGGGAGGCAGCAGUGGGGAAUAUUGGACAAUGGGCGCAAGCCUGAUCCAGCCAUACCGCGUGGGUGAAGAAGGCCUUCGGGUUGUAAAGCCCUUUUGUUGGGAAAGAAAAGCAGCAGGUUAAUACCCCGCUGUUCUGACGGUACCCAAAGAACAAGCACCGGCUAACUUCGUG